Molecule: long non-coding RNA, 856 nt
Organism: Trichomycterus rosablanca
Lineage: Eukaryota; Metazoa; Chordata; Actinopteri; Siluriformes; Trichomycteridae
Exons: 4
Source: RefSeq, a predicted model, not a curated record
UGUGUGAGCAUUUCCAACGUAUCGAAAUCCGAGGAAAGCGUGACAGAAAGGUACCCAUUCUCCUCACUCCAGAAAUGCUAACGUCGAUGUGGAGCUGCUUGUGAAAAAUCGACAAGCAUGUGGAGUAACGGAUGAAAAUCACUUCAUGUUCAAGGCCUGGAGCAGAGACCCAUUUCAGAGGAUCAGACUGUGUUCGAUUAUUUGCCAGUCAGUGUGGAGCAAAACAUCCCAAGACUCUACUGUCAUCUACCGGACUACGAAAACACGUGUCCACCUUAUCGAAGGUCCGUAACCUCAAAGAUACAGAGAUGGAUCAGUUAUCUGAUUUCCUCGGUCAUGAUAUUAGGGUUCAUCGGAAAUUUUACCGGCUACCAGAAGGAACGUUACAGCUGGCAAAAAUCAGCAAAGUGCUCAUGGCCUUGGAGCAGGGACGGAUUCAGGGGUUCAAGGGGCAGAAACCUUGAAGAUAUAAACAUCGAACCUAACGAAGAAGGUGAACUUUGAAAGGGAUCCGUCUGAAAGUGAGAAUGAGGAUGAGACAGAACAACUAAUCAUGACAGAGAAAGUACCUUCAGACAGUGACGAGUCUGAGGAUCAAAAGGGAAAUGCACAGCAAAAAAGAAAGUCACAUCGGUCAUCUUCAGUGUCCAAAGGUUCUUCAAAACCAUCACAGAAGAAAUGGUCCCCCACAGAGAUAAAGGCGGUGGAAAACAAGUUCAUGGACUGGAUAUCCUCUGGCAAAGUUCCGCGUAAAAAUGAAUGCAUGGAAUGCAUAAGAUCAGUGCCAGCAGCACUGAAAUCCAGAAAAUGGGAAGCAAUUAAGUUUUAUGUGAAGAAUUGCAUAACUGCAUAUCAA